RNAcentral lists this ribosomal RNA (418 nucleotides) under uncultured bacterium. RNAcentral's name for it is "bacterial SSU rRNA". It matches the Rfam family "Bacterial small subunit ribosomal RNA", at positions 28 to 451 of the family's 1533-position model. The record is from RNAcentral.
GAUGAACGCUAGCGGCAGGCUUAACACAUGCAAGUCGAGGGGUAGAGGAAGCUUGCUUCCUUGAGACCGGCGCACGGGUGCGUAACGCGUAUGCAAUCUACCUUAUACAGGGGGAUAGCCCAGAGAAAUUUGGAUUAAUACCCCAUAGUAUAAUUGAAUGGCAUCAUUUAAUUAUUAAAGUUCCAACGGUAUAAGAUGAGCAUGCGUCCAUUAGCUAGUUGGUGUGGUAACGGCACACCAAGGCGACGAUGGUAGGGUCCUGAGAGGAGAUCCCCACACUGGUACUGAGACACGGACCAGACUCCUACGGGAGGCAGCAGUGAGGAAUAUUGGUCAAUGGGCGCAAGCCUGAACCAGCCAUGCCGCGUGCAGGAUGACGGUCCAUGGAUUGUAAAACUGCUUUUGUACAGGAAGAAAC